Molecule: ribosomal RNA, 266 nt
Filed under: uncultured Chlamydiales bacterium
Lineage: Bacteria; Pseudomonadati; Chlamydiota; Chlamydiia; Chlamydiales
Description: partial 16S ribosomal RNA
Rfam family: Bacterial small subunit ribosomal RNA
Source: RNAcentral
GUGGAUGAGGCAUGCAAGUCGAACGGUAUAGGGGCAACCCUAUAUAGUGGCGCAAGGGUUAGUAAUACAUAGGUAAUCUACCUCUGACUUGGGAAUAACGGCUGGAAACGGCCGCUAAUACCUAAUGAGGUGGCACAGGGCAUCCUGUGCUUAUCAACGCGGAGGAUCGUAAGACUUCGUGGUUAGAGAAGAGUCUAUGGGAUAUCAGCUAGUUGGUGAGGUAAUGGCUCACCAAGGCUAAGACGUCUAGGCGGAUUGAGAGAUUG